GCCUGUACUGCCACGUAGGGACUGCUUCUUUUCUCUAAAACAAUGACCAAAUAGACUCAGAACAGCCGAGGUGUUUCCUCUAAGCUGAUGUACGUCCUCCUCUUCCUCUUCCUCCUCCUCCUCCUCCUCCUGCUCCUCCUGGUGAGGUAUUCAGUAGUAGUGUUGUAGGAGUAGAGUAAAGAUGCAAUAUAAAGCAUCAGGACUUUAUCCCAGCUUGGAUACUUUAAGGCUGGUUUUCUUUUGUACCCAGGAGUUGUUUGUAUUUGUAAUGACUGAUGUUUAGAUUUGUCAGAUAUGGUAGGUUUGUGCUACAUAAAUAUUCCUACUAGUUUUUAGAGCAUGUACGAUGUGGUUUGUGAGAUUUUUAUUCCGCUGCAGGACAAAGUCUUCCUCAGAGACUUCCUCCUGUCGGAGCUGUCGUCCAUCAACACGUCAGCGUCUCCUGUCUCACUGAAGGAAAACUAAAUUAAACCGAUCUGAUCUGUUUCAGGAACAUCUUUAAUUUAUUGAUCAGUAAUAUAAACUAUCAGUUGUCUUUUGAAUGUAGAAAUCAUUCAUGUUGUUUAUGUAUGAUAGAUAUUUAUUGAUCUCAGAGACACAGAGGAGCCUCUGUGAUGUGACCGGGAACAGGGUUUAAACGUGUUUGAAUCUUAUGUAAGGCAAUAAACACAUGUGUAAAUAAGCUGCUUUAAUGAACAAAGACACAUUUAUAACAGAGUUUAAAAAGAUAUCUGUCAGUAUGUGACACAGCUCGUCAGUCUUUAUCAGUGACAACACAAUCAGAACAGGACUGUUAUUAACAUUCAGCUCCGAAUAUCAUCAAGGCCACGUUUAUCACAGAAGAAUCAGAUAAGAUUAACUGUUGAAAUCACUAUCAGACAGAUACUGGUGAUGAUGAACUUUUCUUUGCCAUCAACACUGUCAAGUCAGUAACUUACAGUGUCUGAUUUUUGUCCUAAUAAUCUCUUUGAACAUCUAGUAGAAUUAUCUGGUUGUAUCUGGUUCUAAUUAUAGGGAAACAAGACAUUUUUAUCAGGAACCUGUUCAUUUAUUUGAAGGAAUUUCUGUGAAGACCCAUUUCUCUCAGAAAAUAGUUCAAAUAAUAAAUAUAAACUCAAGCGGUGGUUCAGGGUUGAAUCCCUUUUUUGACUCAACAGAAGGAACCAACUCAAUCAGCCAAAAUUAAAGCAGUGAGGAAAAACAAGCAGGUAAAGUCGCUUAAGGUAGUUUAAUUUUGCUUAAAUAGGGAGUGAGACCAAUCACAAUCUUGUUCCAUCAUCCCAAAGCCUGCAAGGUUUCAAUGGUUCGUUCCGGCUCACAGCAAAUUGGGAAAAGGCAUAAGAUGGCAUCAUGAUGAUGAAUAGGCCCCGUCCACAUGCACCAAUCAUUAUGUCACUUUAGAUUUUAGUUAAUACUUGCCCCCUGUCCUCCGGAUUUUGAGGUACCUAUUAUGGGUAUUUGUGACGCCCCCUAUGGUUCAAGCUCAAAAUGCUUUGGUCAGCCUGUUUCCAAACACAGAAAGUAUCUACAAAUAUUUUUGAUGAUUGGACAAAUAAUUAUCAGUUAUGGCCAAUGACCUGUUUAUUGAAGAAAUAGAUAGAUAGAUAGAUAGAUACUUUAUUUAUCCCCUAGGGGACAUUCAUGUGUAUUUGUCAAUAUCUUAAACUUUAGACAACUUUAGAUACGCUUGGUCCAGUGAUGAUCUAAAGAAACUGGAUCUACAGUUAAAAAGGAGAUGUCAAAAAUGUGUUUUUCAAAAAAUUCUAAAUGGUGGAAAAUCCAUCAUGGCGGCCUUUAUGGUCCAAGAGGCUUUUUUAAAGUAUAUAUUAGUAUAUAUAUAUACAGUAUAUAUAUAUAUAUAUAUAUAUAUAUUUAUACAAACUGCAUUUUUGCAACCAUGUUGCCAAUUGGGUUCAUGUUUCAUGGGAAGCAGGUCCAGUUAUUGGGCCAAGUUUCGUGUUUCUAGCUCAUUCCAGCUCAAAGGAAUUUGAGCCGAUUCGACAGAAAAAUAAUAACAGACACAAUUAACCUAUCUAGAAUAUUGUGAAAAUUUUACUUGUGAAAUUCAAAAUUAUAAUAUAUUAACUUAUGAAAUUACUAAAUUAUGAGUUUGUAAAUUACAAGUCACAGCUAAUAAUAAUGGUCAUAAUAAUGAUAGUAAAAACAAUGUUUGAAAAGACCAUUUUUACUUGUCAAAAAUAUGGAAUCUAUGAAGUAAAGGUCACGAGAAGGAAAGUCACAAUUACUCAUAAUUUUUAAUUUACCAAGACGAACCUUUACAAAAGAUUUACUGAGUGAAAUUUAUGAAAUUUACAAGAUAAAUAAUGUUUAUCUCAUAAAUGUUACUUUAUUUUAGUUCAACUUUUUCAUUUUUUUAGUAUCUCACAAUUAUGACUUUAAUAUGAGCUAGAAAUGUAAUUUGUUUGUUCUUUUCCUGGCAGAAAUGGGCUCCCAUACAUUGUUGAAAAAACUAAUAUCGAAUGAAUGAAUGGGAAACAGGCUCCUUUAAACUCAAGUUUCUACCUGCAGCCGACUGAACACUGUCUCUGUUUUACUUAUAAUUUGUAUCAAACUACACAGUUUACAAAAAUCCUCAGUUACAUAUCAGUUUGUUUCUGGGAAAUUGUCAGGAGGAGAUGGGAACCAUUUUUUUUAAUCUCAUCCAAAAACAGUGAUGACUGUUUGUACAUCACUCAGAAUUUAAACGUCUGGAUAAAACCAGUAUCUGUCACUCACUGCUGACCUCUGGUGACUCAGAUGUGUCGUACACUACACUGACUGUUGAAGACAAAAUAUCAAUCAUCCUUUUUCAAGUAUUAUCACUAUCAGUAUAAACCAGGGUAUUUUUCGGUUUAUCAUAUAUAUAUGAAAUUAUCAUGUGUACCGUGCACUUUAUAUUAAACAGCUGAUGUUACAGAUGAUUUGGUUCAAUACAUUCUGCGCUGCUAUUCACUGCAUGAACCUAAACCCUACUGUGGGGUACCAUGUCUCUGAAACUAACCAAACCACAGACGCUCACAUUUUCAAACAAUGCGUCUUGUAGAGGAGAUUUCUAAAUUAUUUGUGAUAUUCACAUGGGUGAUAUAUUGCUGCUGUACAUAUGUAUAUGAAUAGGUGUAAAUGUAUUUAUAUAUUUUUUGUCUUAAUCUGUUGAAUAUAUUUUCAUAGAUCCUAGGUCUCCCUUGUGCUCCCUUUGUUUUGAUGUGUUUCAGACCUCUGUCUGUCUUUGUUUACUUGCAUGGAGAUAUUUCAGUAUAAUAAAUUAUUUAUGGUAAAUCUCUAUGUACUUUGGAAUGAGAGUCCAAUGGGUUUUUAGAUGGCACUGGAUUUAGCUUGAACUGGAUUUCCUAGAGGACUGCAUGCUGGUGCUAGUGUAGGAUGUAGGAGACAGAGAGUGAGUGUUUGCAAACGAUGCGUUUCUCUACGUAACAAACUUUACUUCUUCAUAUACAAGAACCUUUUCAGCAGAAUGUUUACUUUGUGUUUAUGUUUGAAAUGUCAUUUUAGAGAUAAUUUUGCUACCUGAGCAUUAAUAAAGUUGUCCUUGUUUAAGGUAACAGAA
Molecule: long non-coding RNA, 3562 nt
Organism: Seriola aureovittata
Lineage: Eukaryota; Metazoa; Chordata; Actinopteri; Carangiformes; Carangidae
Exons: 2
Source: RefSeq, a predicted model, not a curated record